Molecule: non-coding RNA, 72 nt
Organism: Rhizobium sp. 63-7
Lineage: Bacteria; Pseudomonadati; Pseudomonadota; Alphaproteobacteria; Hyphomicrobiales; Rhizobiaceae
Source: Rfam
UGUAAAUACCCUCCUUGGGUGUUUCCUCCCUAGACUUAACCGCGCCGCAAAGCGCGGUUUUUUUUGGCCGGA